AUCCGGGUAGCUCAGCUGGCAGAGCGGCGGUCUCCAAAACCGCAGGUCGAUUGGGUUCGAAUCCCUCCCUGGAUGCCA
Molecule: transfer RNA, 78 nt
Filed under: Hydrogenophaga sp.
Lineage: Bacteria; Pseudomonadati; Pseudomonadota; Betaproteobacteria; Burkholderiales; Comamonadaceae
Description: tRNA-Trp
Rfam family: tRNA
About the family: Transfer RNA (tRNA) molecules are approximately 80 nucleotides in length. Their secondary structure includes four short double-helical elements and three loops (D, anti-codon, and T loops). Further hydrogen bonds mediate the characteristic L-shaped molecular structure. tRNAs have two regions of fundamental functional importance: the anti-codon, which is responsible for specific mRNA codon recognition, and the 3' end, to which the tRNAs corresponding amino acid is attached (by aminoacyl-tRNA synthetases). tRNAs cope with the degeneracy of the genetic code in two manners: having more than one tRNA (with a specific anti-codon) for a particular amino acid; and 'wobble' base-pairing, i.e. permitting non-standard base-pairing at the 3rd anti-codon position.
Source: RNAcentral